Molecule: long non-coding RNA, 1920 nt
Filed under: Homo sapiens (human)
Lineage: Eukaryota; Metazoa; Chordata; Mammalia; Primates; Hominidae
Description: HSALNT0197773
Source: RNAcentral
CGCCGCCCCUGUCCCUGCCUGCUGCGGAAGAAGGUAGGAGGGCCUCACCCCUGCCAACGGUACCUUCUGAGCCUAGUUCCUCACUGGCCACUGUUUUUGGAAGUCCUCUUUGCAGAACUGGCCUCAAAGGCUCAAGGUCAAAGCACCCCCAUGAGCUGCUUUGGAAAAAGAGAUUUCAUCUGACAACAAGGGAGGCAGCUGAGCCAGGAACUUGUGAUGUCACUGGGCUUCUGGGCCAGCAGGAGGCUGAGAGGCACACAUGUAGAGAAAUACAAAGGUUCCCUCUUGUUUAAAUUAAGCAAAUUAAGAGGAAGUGGCCUGAAUUCCGUCUGUGGGCACCAUUUGCACAGAUGUGGUGGCCACAGAAGCCGCUCACCCUGCCCCAUUGCCCGAGGCAAGGAUGAGCCUGGUGGUGCCAGGCGCCGCUCUGAGACGUGGGACCCUCUCCCACUCUGUGGACCUCCCGACCCCUGAAUGCCUCUUGGAUGAGCAGAGAUGGUGGCCUCGGGCUGAGCCGGGCAGUUUCCAGGCCAGGCUGCAACGGGUGGCUCCUUCCUCUCCAUCCUGGCCAAAGCCUGUCCUGACGGUGGCUCAGGUAUGGCUGGAGUCUGAGUCAUUGGGUCCUUUGUCACUGAUCUGGCUGCUGGCCAGGAACUGGGACACUGAGGCCACAGCAUGGGGACAGGGAGAUCUGCCCACGUAAUGCACCUCGUGGACCUGUGGGGGCUGGUCCCCAAAGCAGCACCCAUCAUUUGGGAUUAUGGUCAACUGCAUCUAACAGAAGCCCAACUUUGGCAAUUUAAACAAACAGGGGGACAGAGAGGCAGCGUUGGGAAGAAGCAACUCCUGAGGACGUCAGUGGGAUCUCAGACUCACCCCCGCCCGACCAUCUGUCGCUUGACCUCACGGCCACAAAGUGGCUGCCACCCCUCCAAGCAUCACACCCACAUUCCAACAGGGAGAGGGAACGGGGCAAUGGCUAAGUCAGAAAGCCUGAGCCUCUCCCAGAAAUCCCCAGGGACUUGACACGAGGUCAUGCGUCGACACAAGGUCACACGUCACUGCAAGGGCAUCUGGGGAGUGUGGUUUCUAAAGCUGUCCUGCUAAACUCCACACCAAAUCGGAUCUGCUAGGAAGCAAAGGGGAGGGUGGGCCCAGUGGACUGCUGAUGGCUACUGCCACAGCCCGGGGAGAGAACAGAGCAUGCCCAGCCCUCCAUCACAAGGGCCAGGCAGGGAGGGCACGAGACACGCCCGGGUGGAGAAGGCGGCUGCACACAAGUGAAAAUGGCCAUUUUGAGUUCGCGAUCGUGUGAAGACACGUAACGACGGGCAUCCAUCGUGCAUCACACAGCGGCGUUUCAAUGCUCCCAGAGUCCUCUGUGUGGGUACCAGCUCUGAUCAAUCCACUAACCUCAUUCCCUGGGGAGUGGAGCUGGCAUUGGACAUCAUGUGUGACUGGUCCUGGUGUGAAUUCUCCCCAGGGAGCAGAGCCCGCAUUGGACAGCACACGGGACUGGUCCCAGUCUGAGCUCUCAAAGGAGUGGGGUUCACAUCCUCAGCGUUUUGUCUGUAAUUAUUACACUUAGUCCAGGUGUAAUUACCCAUAAUUUGAGGAGGAAAGCGGUCAUGUAUUUACCUUGUAAUUUGCAGUCGCACCUUAGACUGAUGUGCUGCCUCUUCCUGCGGAAAGCUCCGGAACCCUUGAAGAAUCUGCGGAGCGUCCCCGCUGCCUGGGGUGGGUUCACUGCACAAGCUGCUCUCCUGGGCUGUGUCCUGGGGACAGCUCAGGUCUGGACUUUGGCCCAACCCACGCAGCCCCGCCCGGACCUGUUCCCACCUGGCCAAGCUCCCUGCUGGCUCCUCUCCCCUGGGCUGCCUUCACCCGCACACUGAGUGACCCGACGCCCGCUACACAGAA